Molecule: ribosomal RNA, 253 nt
Filed under: uncultured bacterium
Lineage: Bacteria
Description: partial 16S ribosomal RNA
Rfam family: Bacterial small subunit ribosomal RNA
Source: RNAcentral
UACGGAGGGGGCUAGCGUUGUUCGGAAUUACUGGGCGUAAAGCGCGCGUAGGCGGCUUUGUAAGUUAGAGGUGAAAGCCCAGGGCUUAACCCUGGAAUUGCCUUUAAGACUGCAUCGCUAGAAUCGUGGAGAGGUGAGUGGAAUUCCGAGUGUAGAGGUGAAAUUCGUAGAUAUUCGGAAGAACACCAGUGGCGAAGGCGACUCACUGGACACGUAUUGACGCUGAGGUGCGAAAGCGUGGGGAGCGAUCCGG